RNAcentral lists this ribosomal RNA (373 nucleotides) under uncultured bacterium. Its description in RNAcentral is "bacterial SSU rRNA". It matches the Rfam family "Bacterial small subunit ribosomal RNA", at positions 521 to 896 of the family's 1533-position model. The record is from RNAcentral.
UAAUACGGAGGGUGCAAGCGUUAUCCGGAUUCACUGGGUUUAAAGGGUGCGUAGGUGGGUUGGUAAGUCAGUGGUGAAAUCUCCGUGCUUAACAUGGAAACUGCCAUUGAUACUACUGGUCUUGAAUUUUCUGGAGGAUAGCGGAAUAUGUCAUGUAGCGGUGAAAUGCUUAGAUAUGACAUAGAACACCAAUUGCGAAGGCAGCUAUCUACAGGGAUAUUGACACUGAGGCACGAAAGCGUGGGGAUCAAACAGGAUUAGAUACCCUGGUAGUCCACGCCCUAAACGAUGGAUACUCGACAUUUGUGAUACACAAUAAGUGUCUGAGCGAAAGCAUUAAGUAUCCCACCUGGGAAGUACGACCGCAAGGUUG